RNAcentral lists this ribosomal RNA (304 nucleotides) under uncultured bacterium. RNAcentral's name for it is "partial 16S ribosomal RNA". It matches the Rfam family "Bacterial small subunit ribosomal RNA", at positions 506 to 807 of the family's 1533-position model. The record is from RNAcentral.
CAGCAGCAGCCGCGGUAAUACGAGGGGGGCAAGCGUUAUCCGGAAUGAUUGGGCGUAAAGCGUCUGUAGGUGGCUUUUCAAGUCCGCCGUCAAAUCCCAGGGCUCAACCCUGGACAGGCGGUGGAAACUAUCAAGCUAGAGUACGGUAGGGGCAGAGGGAAUUUCCGGUGGAGCGGUGAAAUGCGUUGAGAUCGGAAAGAACACCAACGGCGAAAGCACUUUGCUGGGCCGACACUGACACUGAGAGACGAAAGCUAGGGGAGCAAAUGGGAUUAGAUACCCCUGUAGUCCCUGUCUCUUAUAC